AAUUACCUGUACGGAGCGAUGAAGAUAAAUGCAACCAGUGGGCUCGAUGACGGAAUGCAAUCCAUCAAACGGAAUGUUAUGUUCUCAGG
Non-coding RNA from Caenorhabditis elegans, 89 nucleotides. Lineage: Eukaryota; Metazoa; Nematoda; Chromadorea; Rhabditida; Rhabditidae. The record is from Ensembl.